Long non-coding RNA from Leopardus geoffroyi (Geoffroy's cat), 4348 nucleotides. RefSeq lists it as uncharacterized. The transcript is spliced from 2 exons. NCBI's taxonomy places the organism in Eukaryota, Metazoa, Chordata, Mammalia, Carnivora, Felidae. The record is from RefSeq and is a predicted model, not a curated record.
GUCUCCCUCUCUCUCUGCCCCAUCCCCACUCAUGCUCUGUCUCUCUGUCUUAAAAAUAAAUAAAACAUUAAAACAAUUUUUUUUAAAAAUUGGGGAAGUAGGAUCAAGAUACUUUGUUAACAGGCAUAUUCUCAGGUACUACAUAGUAGAUCCAUUGAAUAUAAUUAAGUUUCUACAAGAUGAUUGUUGUUGCCACAUCUACUUUGGUGAGUGGGAGAUACAAUUUAGUUGGUAAAAGAUUCUGUUAAGACUUAGAAUGAAGCUAAUGUACAAUUUUUAUUAGUAAUAUUUUCAAACUCGUAUGUGUUACUUAUUUAGAAGAAUUUACAGAACUGUUGAGUAAUUUAAAGUGUAAAAUUUCUGUAACCUGAUGUAGUAUUGACACCAAAAUAGAGUUGGGUGCCUGAAAUAUGCCUCAAGAUGAUUUUGAACCUAAGUAAGUUUUCUUCUCCUAAGACAGGCAUAAUUCUGCCUUGCCUACCUUACAGGUGGUCAGAUAAAGAGUAAAAAGAACUUUGGAAAGUGUAAAGGCAUCUUAUAUUUUUGUAAUCCUGUAGUGUAGCACAGGAAAUCAUGCUAUUAUUGAGGCAUGUGCAUGAAUACUUCAAUGUGUAUAAUCUCAGUACUCUAGUAGGUGACUAUCUUUAGACCCCGUAUCAGUGAUCACCUUGACAGUGUCAGAUAAUUUCCCCGAGGGAUGACCACCUCAUGACUUUAAAUUGGUGCAAGGUACGAUUUUGAAAACUUACAGGAAUUGGGGAGAGGCUUUAAUGGGUUAUCACUAGUUAUGUAGUGUUUUGUCCUUAAUGAAAUUUCAAAAUUCAGGCAUUUUCUUCUGUUAAGGACUGAGUGCCUGGAAAUUGGUGUUUGGCAUCAGGAUGAUGAAGCCAUCAAUGCAAAAAGUGAGACUAGUCAAGCAGCUGAAGAAAAUUGUUUUUAUGGGAUUUUACAGUUAAUAGACUUCUUGAACUUUUGGUCUUCACAGUAGUCACAAUAGCCCUGCCAAAGCAGGCAGGAAGGGCCUGUCUAUUGUAAACAUUUUGUCAAAUAGAAAACAGCCUCAGAGAAAAUAAGGAAGUGAAUAGGUGUCAGAUAAAUACGAGAAUCCAGGGUUUUCAUUUUUCCUUCCUCAUGUUCCAUAAUCACUUAAUUCCAUUUGAGAUAGUUUUGAAUUCAAAUUGUAGAUGUAAUAAUAAUGGUCAGCAUUUUUCAUCAGGCCUUGGAUCAGAAUUGUUGCCAUUGGAUGCCAUGUCUCUUUAGCCUAUUUUCCACUAAAUGUUUAAGAGAACGAUGAUAGUGAGCCAACAACAGUCUUUUGAAAGACUGUAAGGUGUUAAUAAUGCCUUUUUAUGAAAUACCGUGAUCUGCCCUGUACCUUUUGGCAGAGAGCCAAAAUUUGCACUAUUCUCUGGCUACCCACACAUAUUGUGCUGGGGAGUUAGACUUGAGUUGUCUAGCUGCCUUAAUGACUCUGGUUGUAUUCCACCUCUAAAUCUUGGCAUGCGUCUAGAUUCUGUCCUGCAUCUACUUCUUGCUCUGUCCGUACUACAAUCUCUUUAGUAAUUUCAUUCAGUCUCAGUUGCAUUAAAAAAAAAAAAAAAAAAAAAGCUCUAUAUGUGUGAUUUCAUUCUCUAUUUUCAGUCUUCCCCUCUCCUUGAAAUUGCAAACUUUUAUAUCCACUAACAACUUGAUCACCUCCCCAGUAUCCAAUGGAUAUCUUAAAGUUCAGUGAGUGAAAACAGAAGACUUAUUCUCAAACGUGAUCUUUCCUCCAGUCUCUCCCAUCUCAGUAAAUACCCCACCUCCUUCCCAGUUGCUGAAUCCAAUACUAUAAGAACUGCUCUUGGAUCUUCUUAGUAUUUAAUUUAUUGGCAAGCUUUGUCAACUCCACCUUCAAAGCAUAUCCCAUGUCGUUGAUAUCACUGCUUGUUGUUUACCCAGCAUCUGUUCCCCCUUCCUCUUUUCUAACAAAUAAUCGUUUUUUUUCCCUUAAGUAUCCAUCCUCUUUUCACAUAAGCCAUGUGACUCAAGGCAAGUCAACCCCAUUCCCAGUUAGGGAGGGCUCUGCUUGAUCUUUAGUCCGUUUUAACUCCAUCUCUCAUACAAAUGAAUGGAUGAGGGAUGGGUAGGCUUAAAGAAAUAUGGGUCAAUGAACAGGGCUAGGGGCAUCUGGCAAGGACGAGUCCUGGCUUUUGAAAUAGCCACAUAAAGUAAGCGUCUCCCUCUAGGUAUAAAUAAGGAGCAUAUAGUCUCAAUUGUUAGUAGCAGUCAUCUAACAAAUAUUCCACUCUAAGGCUUAAGAUGAUUGGAAAGUCUGGAAGAAUACACUUCUUUGAUAAUAUCAUUGAGGCUGCUCUGGCCCUAAGCUUCCUGUAAAAUAAGCAUACAAUUGUCCGUAUGUCAGAAAUCUUAGGUUGGGUAUUUGGUUACUUGUAUCCAGAAACAACUGAUAAAUUCAGAAUCUAUCUACUACUACUUACUAGCAUCUUAAUCUAAACCAUUGCCAUCAUGCACUAGGAUUUACUGCAGUGGUCACCUAACUAGUUUCCUACUUUUACUUUUUUCUACCCUACAGUUUUUUUUCUGUAAAAAACAGGGGUCUUGUUAAAAGUUUAGGUCACGUCACCCCUUUCUUGAAAUGUUGCUCUCGGGUGCUCCUUAAGGCAGCCUAAAACUGCUUAUAAAGCCCAGUAUGAUUGGCUUCUGCCUAUUUCAGGUACAUCACUUGGUUUUCAGUAAUGUCUUAUUUUGGUGACUUCUGAAGAGUAAAUUAAAGCUAAAUCACUAAGCAGAAAGCAUUAUACUCAAAUGCUUGAACACACCAGUGGUCUUUCCACAGGUUGGUCCCUGGAAUGCUUGCCCUCAUCUCUUCACAGGUCUGGACUUCAGAAGGAUUGGCAGAGCCAGUAUAGACCAGGAAAUAGAGUAGAGACUGUUUUUGUUUGUUUGUUUUUUUAAAGCAAACAAAAAAAACAAAAACCAAUGAGGACUUCUGCCUUCUUGGUUAUAAGGCACAAAUCCAUGUAAUAAGUCAUGUCAUCUCAUUGGUUGUACCUGGACAAUUCAAACCUUGUAUCCUGCCAGAAGAGGUCAGUAGGGUCACCAGUGAUUGUGAAAUACACUUUUUUUGUUGUUGCCUGCAGUGAAUGUCUUGCAAAAAAAUCUUCAUAACUCUUGAUUUGACCAAAAUAUGACACCAUUGUUCAAUAGCUAUUCAAUAAGCCAAUCACAUGAAUCUUGUUUGUAUUUUCAAGAGUAAUCCUUAGGGUAAAAUGAUUUGCUUUUGUAUACAUUAGUAUAAAUAAGUAAAGAUAAAUUAGGAUGUUUGAACUUUGCACAUCUCAUACUCAAAGACUCAUGGCAUUGUAUGUAUAGAAACGUGUGGUCCAAGUUAAUAGAAUAGGUCUUCAUGAUUUUGAUGGUGAUAUCUCCAAGUAGAGGAAUGGACAGAUUUUAUGAGAAGAGCAAUAGCUUCUUUUUGCUAGGGCUAAGAAGGUCACUAUCAUUAACCACAAAGUUGACAAUUUGUGUUUAUGUCAUUUAAUAUUUUUCAGUAAUUUCCCCUUUGGUGAUUAAGAACAGAGCAUAUAGAUACACUAAAUUUGGCUUUGGAGACAUGUAUCUUUCCUCUGAAGCAGGACUGCAGGAAAAAAAAUCUUACAAAGGUGUCUUGCUAAAAUGUGUAAAAAUUAUAAGCUAAGUUUUAAGUGCUAUUGAUUUAUAUAUGAGAGGUUUCUUCAUACUUUCAGUUUAGUUUGUUAAAUAAGCUUAGUAAAACUUUUGGUGGCUAAGUUUUCACUGAUACAAUAGUCUCAGUCUAUAUAUUACUAAUUGAUGGUAGCAUAGGGGAUUAACUGCUGUUAGAUUUUAUUUUGUUUUUCAAGUUAAAAUUGUUGAUAGACUAAAAAUUGUCUCUUUUUAAAGCCAUCGAAAGAGAGCUUAUGUACUUUUCCAUGUAAAGUUUAUUCCUUAAUUUCUCUUGUCUGAAUGAAAUUGGUAAUCUCAAGGUACAGAAAAGUCAAAAUAUUUGGGAAUUUGAUGAGUAAUGUCUAAUAGUAUUCCUAGGGAGCUUGUGGAUGAAUGUGCAAAGAUGGGGUCCACACAUCCCUCUUUGUUUCAUUUGGAGCUUUUUGACCUUUAUUUGUGUUAGAAAUUGGGAUUCAAUGUAAGAUUUCAUUUGAAAAAAUCGAUGUGGCUGCCUUUCUUUAAAGUUUGAUAACAGUGAUCUAGAUUUUCUGUGAUAUUGGCAAUUUUUCCUAAGUACUACCAGGUAAGUUAGGUUUUGCUUUUUGUCCAGAUUCAGGGUAAAACUACUACAUACUGUGAAAAUUAUAAACAUUUUUUUUUC